UGAAACCAGGAUUAGAUACCCUACUAUACUAAGAUAAUAGGAAAAACUAGAAUAUUAAAAGAUAUAGUCUUUAAAUUCAAAGAAUUUGGCGGUAAUUUAGUCUUUCCAGAGGAACCUGUUUUUUAAUCGAUAAACCACGAAUAAUCUUACUUAUCUUUGUAAAUUUAAUAAGUUUGUAUACCGUCAUUAUCAGAUGAUAUUUAGAGAUGAUAUUAUUGGAUUUUAAAUAGUAAAAAAAAUUAGAUCAAGGUGCAGCUAAUAGAUAAGUUAAAAUGGGUUACAAUUAACUGGAUUUAAUAAUGAAUAAAGAUUUGAAAAAUCUUUGGAAGGAGGAUUUGGUUGUAAUUAAAAUUAGUAUGAUAAAAAGAUAUGAGCUCUAAAUUAUGUACAUAUCGCCCGUCGCUA
RNAcentral lists this ribosomal RNA (405 nucleotides) under Mithrax pleuracanthus. Its description in RNAcentral is "partial 12S ribosomal RNA". The record is from RNAcentral. Lineage: Eukaryota; Metazoa; Arthropoda; Malacostraca; Decapoda; Mithracidae.